Long non-coding RNA from Oncorhynchus tshawytscha (Chinook salmon), 313 nucleotides. Lineage: Eukaryota; Metazoa; Chordata; Actinopteri; Salmoniformes; Salmonidae. The record is from Ensembl.
CACACACACACAGUAGGACUAGACAUCCCUCGUCCCUGGGAAGCUGGAGGUACACACACACACACACACACAGUAGGACUAGACAUCCCUCUUCCCUGGGAAACUGGAGGUACACACACACACACACACACAGUAGGACUAGACAUCCCUCUUCCCUGGGAAACUGGAGGUACACACACACACACACACACAGUAGGACUAGACAUCCCUCGUCCCUGGGAAACUGGAGGUACACACACACACAGUAGGACUAGACAUCCCUCUUCCCUGGGAAACUGGAGGUACACACACACACAGUAGGACUAGACAUCCC